This 4131-nucleotide long non-coding RNA is filed under the name Callithrix jacchus (white-tufted-ear marmoset). RNAcentral's name for it is "lncRNA (ENSCJAG00000074119.1)". The record is from RNAcentral. Lineage: Eukaryota; Metazoa; Chordata; Mammalia; Primates; Cebidae.
GUGGCUUUGGAGAGAAGAAUGAAAGACAAAGAGAUGGAAGAUGGCAACAUCUCUUUCCUCAUCUGCCCACAGAAAGGCUGGUGAUGAUAGGCUAGAUGGGGAAAAGAAGAUAUGAUGGCUUUGCCAGAACUCAGCCAAGACCGACCCCACUUGCGUCCCUGCAGCAGCCUCAAGGAGGAACCAAGAAACAGAGGCCUUCCAGCCGCCGGAACCAGUCGCCGCCACCCUCGCUCCCCGCUGGCAGCUGACAGCCGGCAGCCAGCGGCGGCCAAGCGACCUCGCUCUGUGCACGGUGAGUCAUUUCCGAUUCGGUUGAUUUUUGUCCCUCAGCGCGUGCCCUUGCUUCCUGUCCCCCUGUUCCUGGACCCCGGCCUGGCAGUCGCUCUCCUCUCACUCAGCGUCGCGGCCUGUGGCCCUAGAGGCAGCCGUGCAACGAUGAACCCCAGCACCCCCAGGUACCCCAUGGCCUCGCUGUACAUAGGAGACCUGCACCCCGAUGUGACCGAAGAGAUGCCCCAUGAGAAAUUCAGCCCGGGCCCAUCUGCGCCAUCUGGGUCUGCAGGGACCUGAUCACCCGCCGCUCCCUGAGCUACGCCUAAGUGAGCUUCCUUCAGAGCGUGCUCUGGCCGCCAUGAACUUUGAUGUUAUAAAGAGCAAGCCAGUACAUGUCCUGUGGUCUCAGUGCGAUACAUCACUGCACAAAAGUGGAAUAGGCAACGUAUUCAUUUAGAAUCAGGACAAAUUCGUUUAGAAAGCACUGUGUGAUGCAUUUUCUGCUUCUGGUAACAUCUUUUCCUGUAAGGUAGUUUGUGAUGAAAAUGGUUCCAAGGACUGUGGAUCCGUACAUUUUGAGACACAAGAAGCAGCUGAAGGAGCUAUUGAAAAAGUGGAUGGCAUGAUCCUAAAUGGUUUCGACAUAUUUGUUGGACGGUUUUUAGUCUCCUAAAGAAAAAGAAGCAGAACUUGGAGCCCUAGCCCCAAGUUCAAGGUUGGACCUGCCUCAAGUAUGAAAGUAAUGACUGAUGAAGGUGGAAAAUCCAAAGGAUUUGAAUUUGUAAGCUUUGAAAGGAAUGAAGAUGCACAGACAGCUAUGGAUGAGAUAAAUGGAGAGGAGUUCAGUGGAAAUUAAAUAUAUGUUGGACAAGCUCAAAAACAGUGGAAGGGCAGACAGAACUUAAGUGCAAAUUUGAACAGAUGAAGCAAGAUAGAGUCACCAGAUACCAGAGUGCUAACGUUUAUGUGAAAAAUCUUGGUGAGAGUAUUGAGGAUGAACGCCUCCAGAAAGUUUUCUCCAUCUGGUAUUGUCACUAGUGCAAAUGUUAUAAUGGAGAGUGGUUGCAGCAAAGGGUUUGGUUUUGUGUGUUUCUCCUCUUCAGAAGCCACCAAAGCAGUUACAGCAAUGAACAGUAAAACUGUGCCAGCAAGCCAUUGUAUGUAGCUUUAGCUAAGAACAAAAAAGAGCGCCUAGCUCACCUCACUUACCAAUAUAUGCAGAAGAUGGCAAGUGUAUGAGCUGUCCCCUACCCUAUAAUCAGCUCCUAUCAGCCAGCACCUUCUUUAGGUUACUUCGUGGCAGCGGUCCCACAGACUCAGAAUCGUGCUGCAUACUUCCUCCUGGCCAAAUUUCUCAACUAAGACCUCCCUGGGCUGCUCAGAGUGUCACACCUCAUCCUCAAUUAUGACCAAGUCCUCCAUGGGCUACUCAGACUGUCAGACCUCACCCAUUCCAAAAUAUGCCUUGUGCUAUCUGCUCAGCUGCUCCUGACCACCAUUUAGUACUCUGAGACCAGCUUCUUCAUAGGUUCCACCAAUCAUGUCCACACAGUGUGUUGCUAACUCAUCAAUACAGACAAUGUGUCCAUGUCCUGAGCUGUUACUGCUGCCUCCAUUCCUGCUGUCCACAUCAUUCCACAGUACAAAUAUGUUGCAGGAAUUUGCAAUCUUCAACAACAUCUUAAUGCACAUCCACAGAUUACCAGGCAGCAGCCUGCUGUUCAUGUCCAAGUUCAGAAAUUUUUGACUGCUUCCAUGUUGGCAUCUGCCCCUCUUCAACAGCAGAAACAGAUGUUGGGUGAAUGACUGUUACCUCUUAUUCAAGCCACGCACCCUACUCGUGCUGGUAAAAUUACUCUUGCUGUUGGAGCUUGAUCAUUCAGAACUUCUUCAUAUGCUUGAGUCUCCAGAGUCUCUCUGUUGUCAUGAUGAAGCACACUGUACUACAUGCCUACCAUGUUAAAGGGGCUUCAAAAAGCAGUUAACAGUGUUACUGGUGUGUCAACUGCUUAAAAUUGAUCAAGGACCAUGGGGGGGAAAAAUGUGUUUCAACAGAAAAAAAUAUCUGAACAUCAAAAACUAAAAUAUUAUGGAAAAGAUAUAAAAUAUAAACAAAAAUAAGGAAAGCAAUCUUUGAACCUUAUGUGCUGAGCAAAUAUCAAGCUAGCAAACUCACUAGUUCUAGAUUACUUAUGAUUUGAAAACAACAAAAAAAGAAAACACAAAAAUACAGUAAAAUUUAAAAACAAAUUAAUGUUUUACGGACCCGCAGAAAAAGAAUUUUCAGAAAAGUACAAAAAUUUAAAGCAUUCCUUUAGUUUUGUAACUCUUAACUGUGGAAUAGGUCAGAAUGUCCGUUUUGUUUUAAAUAACAGACUUGGAAACUAAGCAAGGUAAUGUAACAUGGAUUAUGAAAUUCUUGGUUUAAUAAAACUUCCUUAAACGGUUAAAAAAAACCUGAAUAGGCUAAAAACAUUAGGACAUUAUGCCAUGUAUCUACACAUAAGAGGUGGUUGUGGCCAGGCACUGUUCCUCACAACUGUAAUCCCAGCACGUUGGGAGGCCAAGGCGGGCAGAUCACAAGGUCAGGAAUUCGAGACCAGCUUGGGCAACAUAAUGAAACCCUGUCUCUACUAACUAAAAAUACAAAAGAUUAGCCCAGUGUGUUGGUGGGCACUUGUAAUCCCAACUACUCAGGAGGCUGAGGCAGGAGAAUCACUUGAAUUCAGGAGGUGGAGGUUGCAGUGAGCCAAGAGGGCGCCAUUGCGCUCCAGCCUGGGCAACAGUAUGAGACUCCGUCUUUAAAAAAAAAAAAAAAGGUGGAUGUGUAUGCAUUAAUACUAAUAUGUGAAUCAAAUAAUUAGUCCAUUUUUUUCCAAAGUGGUUGCUCAUUUAACUUAAUUCAACCAUUUUGUUUUUCAAACCUAAAUGGGAGUAUAAACACAAUCUGACUCUUAAACAGGUUAAAUCUAAACUCUCCACACCUUUAUCUAGCAAUUCCUGUGUUGUAUAACUUUCUUCACUGCCACUUCACAGCUAUGAUUUUGUAAAGCAUUUAUUUUUACAGCAUUGGGAUUUGUAGCUAUUAGAAUAUCAAAGCUAUAGGAAUAUUGCAAAUAUUGCAAAUAUAAAAACAAAUUGAUUUCAAAGGGAAGUUUUUUCCAUAUUUAAAUGCCUGAAAAUAAGGCAUAUAAUAAAGAUCCUGGUAGACAGUUUACUCUGACAGUCUCACUAAAAAUGGCUAUAAAAUCUGAUGGAAACUCUGAAAAAUCACCUUUGAGGAUGAUACAGAAUUCAUUUUCUUUGUAAACUGACCCUGGAGAUGUGUCAAAGAUUUGUAGUAACCACAAUAGUCAAAGCCAUGACUGGGAAACUUCUUGGGCCUGAAAUAAAACAUUCAUUUUAGUGAUUCUUAUUUAAUGUGGUGAGGUGAUAUAGUCUAUCAAUUUUUCUUUAGGUAUCCCUAUUAAUAUCCACUUCUAAAUUUUCAAAAGCAUAACUAAACAAUGCAAAAAAAAAAAAAUUGUGAUCCCCAGAGUAGCACAAGGGAACAGCAAAGACCUCUCAGUCAUGAAAGAAGGAAACACACGGGUCAAUUUUUUUCAAUGCUUAAAAAGAAUCCAUCUCAACCAUGUCAAUAGUCCAUCUGAUUAGGUUUUCUCCUAACGUAAGCUAAAGAACAGGUUAUUCUCACACCUCAGCAAGGAUAUAAGGUAUUUGAAGAUGAGCCCUGUAAGAUAAAAAUGUCAAUAAUCAUUUCUUGUAGUAAGAUGCAGCCUUUUGCAGUCCAAUAAUUCAAUUAGGAAAAUGGAGUACACUACUCAGGUUUUUUAAACUUCUUUUGUUACAAGUUUUUAA